CUUGGCGUGCAGCGCGGGCCUCGGCGGUGCCCAAGACCCCGGCCCGGAAGGAUGCGGCCCUGGGCGGCCCGGGAGCUGAGCAGGGCCCCCGCGCCGACCCCCGCGGGCCCCGGCCUCCGGAGCUGCAGCUGCCGCCCGGCCCCCGAGAGACAUGACUUGCAAGCCGCGUUCCGACUGGAUUCCCUACAGUGUCUUAGAAGAUGAGGGCAGCAACCUGAGGCAGCAGAAGCUUGACCGGCAGCGGGCCCAAUUUUUAAAAAAAGGAAGACAAACAAAAAAACAACAAUAUGGCAAGAAGUUAAUGACGAGUAUUUCAAUCUUUCCCUUUUCGGUUUUCAUCCAAAAAUCUUGACUGAACUGCAGUUGUGCACGGAUGAAGGGAUCAUCCACUGACAGCAGGUGUAACCAGCAUCUCCAGAGCAGCAGCCCACGAGGGACUGGCAUCCCGCGAGCCAAAGCAGUUGGCCCAGAGUGUGGUGGGGCGUCCAGAGCUGAACUAAUAACAGCCUUCCUGUGAUACUCAGCCCGGAGAUCAAGUUGGAAAGAGGUGGUCAUCAUGACUGGCUGUGUGUUCUCUCUUGACUGAUGGAGGAAACUGGAGGUCAAUUCAAAGAAAAAGAAUUGGAACAUUAUUAACUAUCUUGAAAUUCAGCAAUAUACCUAUAGAAAAACCAAAUCUAAAAAAGUCAAUGCACCAAGAAGAGAACACAACGGAUGUUAAAUUAAAUAAAUAUUAUCAUAAGCAUUAACACUCAAAUGACUUGAGGUAGGAGAAGGAGUCAUCCUACUUCUCUUAACUGCUGAACAUCCUCCUCUUAUUUUGAUGCAAGGAGAUGGAGACAUGUCCCACUACCAAAUCUGGAUGCCUGUACUUAAAUCACCAUGGUGCAAAGCAAGUACUUGAACAGAGAAACAACAGGGAAGCUAUCACACCUCCUUCCUACUCUAUCUCGGGGUUGAGUAUCACAGGAAGGCUGUUAUUGGUUCAGGCCUGGUCACUCCACCACUCUUUGGACCAAUAGCUGUGGCUCACGGGCUGCCAGUCCCUCUUCGGCUGCAUCAGUGGAGGGUGGGGCCUGAGCUGCUCUCACUGGAUACUCUCAUCAUCCAGUGAUGCAAAAUUGCAGCUCCUGAAGGUCUGAAGGUUCCUGCAAGGUCCUGAAGGUUCUAAAAAUCAAAAAAUUCUCGAUUGGGAAACAAUAAAUUGUAUGAAUCUGAAUGAAUUCCAGUAGUAAUUUCAGAAACCAGUGACUUAAAAAAGUGAAUUGUUUCUUGGAAGUUUCAGGUAGCUAUUUUGUAAUAUGUUUGAGUACUCAUGUGUGCAUUUAAAUGACUUAAUAUUAUGGGACAUGUCGAAAAAGGUUGAAGAGGGAUGUAUUGGUGGGCUUAUUUGCUUCCUCACUUUAUCUCUGGCUAUAUCACACAUAAAGUAUCUCUAGUAAAUUCCACAACAUCCUCCCAGGGAAUGAGAAUUAAAAUGCAAAAUAAAAUUAAUACAAAAAUAAUUUAGACCUUAAGGAACUCUAUAAAGGCUGAACUAGAACUAAAAUGACUGUUGAGGUAAGUUAUGAAAUGCAGUAUGGUUAAGGAAUAGUCACAAUUUUUGUUGGAACAAACUGCACUACCGACAUAUAUUCAAGUAGAACUGAUAAUGUUUGAUGUUCACUUCAACUUCAAAAUGUUUCAGUGAUGGGCAGUAGUAUGGCACAGGUCGAAAAACGAGAGUCAAUCUGACUCUUCAGUGCUACAGGUCUUUUCCUGACAAGUGAGUGGCUCUGAAAAGACCC
Long non-coding RNA from Balaenoptera acutorostrata (minke whale), 1787 nucleotides. RefSeq lists it as uncharacterized. Lineage: Eukaryota; Metazoa; Chordata; Mammalia; Artiodactyla; Balaenopteridae. The transcript has 3 exons. The record is from RefSeq and is a predicted model, not a curated record.